This 445-nucleotide ribosomal RNA is filed under the name uncultured bacterium. Its description in RNAcentral is "bacterial SSU rRNA". It matches the Rfam family "Bacterial small subunit ribosomal RNA", at positions 29 to 507 of the family's 1533-position model. The record is from RNAcentral.
AACGAACGCUGGCGGCAGGCCUAACACAUGCAAGUCGAACGAGAAGCUAUCCUUCGGGGUAGUGGAAAGUGGCAGACGGGUGAGUAACGCGUGGGAACCUUCCCUGUGGUACGGAAUAGCUCCGGGAAACUGGAAUUAAUGCCGUAUACGCCCUUCGGGGGAAAGAUUUAUCGCCAUAGGAUGGGCCCGCGUCGGAUUAGCUUGUUGGUAGGGUAAUGGCCUACCAAGGCAACGAUCCGUAGCUGGUCUUAGAGGAUGAUCAGCCACACUGGGACUGAGACACGGCCCAGACUCCUACGGGAGGCAGCAGUGGGGAAUAUUGGACAAUGGGCGAAAGCCUGAUCCAGCCAUGCCGCGUGAGUGACGAAGGCCUUAGGGUUGUAAAACUCUUUUGGCGGGGACGAUAAUGACGGUACCCGCAGAAUAAGCCCCGGCUAACUUCGUG